GAUGAAGAACGUAGCGAAAUGCGAUAAGUAAUGUGAAUUGCAGAAUUCAGUGAAUCAUCGAAUCUUUGAACGCACAUUGCGCCCGCCAGUAUUCUGGCGGGCAUGCCUGUCUGAGCGUCAUUUCAACCCUCAUGCCCCUAGGGCGUGGUGUUGGGGAUCGGCCAAAGCCCGCGAGGGACGGCCGGCCCCUAAAUCUAGUGGCGGACCCGUCGUGGCCUCCUCUGCGAAGUAGUGAUAUUCCGCAUCGGAGAGCGAUGAGCCCCUGCCGUUAAACCCCCAACUUUCCAAGGUUGACCUCAGAUCAGGUAGGAAUACCCGCUGAACUUAAGCAUAUCAAAAGCGGAGG
This 346-nucleotide unclassified non-coding RNA is filed under the name soil metagenome. Its description in RNAcentral is "partial contains 5.8S ribosomal RNA, internal transcribed spacer 2, and large subunit ribosomal RNA". The stretch from base 1 to 120 matches the Rfam family "5.8S ribosomal RNA", at positions 35 to 154 of the family's 154-position model. The record is from RNAcentral.